AUUCUUAGAAAUUACAUAGAAAAGAAAAAUGUGGGCAGCCAUUAAGGGCAGGCAUCAUGUAACAACCAAAAUUAAAGAUCAUUGCCUGAAACCUUCUCUAUUUCAUCUUUCAUUUCCAAUAGAUAAUCCAGAUGAAGGAUCGAACCCCUCUCUAGCCAGGAAGACAGAAUGUGGCUGUCGAUAGGAGUUUAAGCUUGACUCCAGUAUCUGACCAUCUCUGGUUUUGCCUAUGCUGUGCCCAUGCAUACCUGUUGCUUCUUCAUUGACCUCUCACCUUUAGGGCUCACAGCUGGGGAACCAACAUUACAACGU
This 312-nucleotide unclassified non-coding RNA is filed under the name Hevea brasiliensis (rubber tree). Lineage: Eukaryota; Viridiplantae; Streptophyta; Magnoliopsida; Malpighiales; Euphorbiaceae. The record is from RNAcentral.